Schizosaccharomyces pombe (fission yeast) is the source of this 621-nucleotide non-coding RNA. The record is from the annotation of a GenBank genome assembly. Lineage: Eukaryota; Fungi; Ascomycota; Schizosaccharomycetes; Schizosaccharomycetales; Schizosaccharomycetaceae.
AAAUGGAAUUGAAACAAAUGCCUUGGAGGAGAAUGUUUGCAAAAAAAAACUUUUAUAAUUUGUGAUGUACAGAUAUUUUUAAUAACUCUCGUUUAAGUAACAAAAAAUGUUGAAGCUGAAUUCGUUUUCUCAAACAAGUUAUUCAACCUUACAUUGACUAGGUUCUUCAACAAAAACCUAUUAUAUUUAUCAAAAUUGUACUAAUAGUUUUAAGUAAGCGAUGAUCCACUUUAACCACAGUCCUACUUUUGCAAAUUAUGCAAAAAUGACUUUAGUUUUUGAAUUGCUUGUAGUCCAAGAUGUUUGGAAUAUCCAAAUGAAUUCAUUUAAAUCUUAUCUCGUUAAUAUACGGCUAUUUAAUAGUGUGAUAUAACAGCAACAUUGCAUAAGACAUGAGCUUUUUUGAUUAUUCUCUUUUCUCACUUUGACGAUAAGAACCACGUCCUUACCAGCAUUACUUUGAUCUGUGCAUAAGUAAGAGGGAAAAGUUCCUGAAUUAUUGUAUUAAUUUAACAUCCCUACAAUUUAAUACUCAGAUUAACUUUGUUUUCUUCAACGUAGAAGUAAAAACCAUAACAAGUAUCUGUGUUGAAAGAUGAAGGGUAGGUUCAUUAAAAUUAC